UACGGAGGGUGCGAGCGUUAUCCGGAAUCAUUGGGCGUAAAGGGCGCGUAGGUGGCGGGACAAGCGUGCGGUGAAAGCUCGGGGCUCAACCCCGCGUCGGCCGUGCGAACUGUUUUGCUUGAGCACUGUAGAGGCAGGCGGAAUUCCGGGUGUAGCGGUGGAAUACGUAGAGAUCCGGAAGAACACCGGUGGCGAAGGCGGCCUGCUGGGCAGUAGCUGACACUGAGGCGCGACAGCGGUGGGGAGCAAACAGG
RNAcentral lists this ribosomal RNA (254 nucleotides) under uncultured bacterium. Its description in RNAcentral is "partial 16S ribosomal RNA". It matches the Rfam family "Bacterial small subunit ribosomal RNA", at positions 524 to 776 of the family's 1533-position model. The record is from RNAcentral.